Small nucleolar RNA from Equus asinus (donkey), 130 nucleotides. NCBI's taxonomy places the organism in Eukaryota, Metazoa, Chordata, Mammalia, Perissodactyla, Equidae. The record is from Ensembl.
CCUGAAACUAGAGUCACAAGCUGACAUAGCUCUGGUCCUGAUGUGCUGGAGUCUUUGGAGAGAAUCUGCUGCUCUUGAUUCACCAGUGAGGGCAAUCAGUGCCCCCAGUACUGCCCAGAUCAGAGCAUGU